AAUCUGAAGGCUUUGUAACUCAUACUUUCCUUAACAACAGGAGUGAGCGUCAUCUAAUCUGUGGAAUGUCUGAAGAGACCAAAAGACUGCGGAAGCAACGUUUCUUUCAUCACUGCUCUUCAUUUCCUAUCUCCCUCCCUGCUAUAGAUUGCUGUUGAUUCAAACCAACAAUGUCUAAGACAUUGCUACGUAGGAAGAAAAUGAUACUUGGUGCUAAACAGUGGUGAAACUAUCUUCAAAUGAGUGACUCCCACUGGGUCCCUUUCUUAGCAAAGAAACUGGAAACAGGAAAAUGUCCCUCAGUUCUCUCUGUACUUAACCAUCGAAGGGAGUCUUCCACAAGCCAACAAGAACACUCUUUGGAGUUGAGAGCAGACAGCAUAUAUGGCUGCUUCGGUUAAUUUCACACCGGUCUGUGAUGGCUGUCAAACUCCUCCCUGCCUCUGAGCCCCUGCCCUCCUGUUGGAGCUGGCUGACAUCCUAUCGAAGAGCAGCAAACACAGAAAGGAGGGUUGCCCCACAUGGAUUCCCCAUGAGGAUGAUGCACCAGGAAGAACUCUUCAUCUCCCGGAUGCCUGGGUACGCAUGCCUUGGAGUGAAAGACCUCGAGCCACUUGACAGCUUGGCCAUGAACUUCUUAGACAGUAACUAUGCAAGCGCUUCCAGAAAUCAUCAGAGGUCCACGAGCCUGAAGGGGAUGAGCCAGAAGGGAAGCAGUGUGAAGACUCAAGACCACAGAGCCUGGUGGGCCCCAUGGAUGCCGAUCUCCAUCUUAGGGGCAAUCUAGAGGCAUUGAAGAGUUUCAUCACUGGGGAGCCAAGAGGUUCUAUUUGCAUUUUAUAAAAAUUUGAGCUUCAGUGUAGAGACUAAAUUAGAACAAGGCCUAAGAGGAUACAGGAGCUCUUAGGAGGGAAUUGCGUAUAAGAGAAUGUAAAAUAGGGAGAAGCAGCGCAGAUACAGAGAAUAGGAACAGGUUCAAACUGAAAUGGUUCCAGGACUUAUAAGACAGACAUACACAGACCAAAACUCUCAUAUUUCGACGUAUUAAAAAAAAUAGUGUCAUCACAAAAUUGUAAUGACUCCAUGGCAUUUAUCAUAAAAUUAAGUAGUUCAAAUGAGGCUCACUGCAUAUUACUAUACAGGAGAAAACAAAGGACUGAAAUACAUAUGUAC
RNAcentral lists this long non-coding RNA (1173 nucleotides) under Mus spicilegus (steppe mouse). RNAcentral's name for it is "lncRNA (ENSMSIG00000017127.1)". Lineage: Eukaryota; Metazoa; Chordata; Mammalia; Rodentia; Muridae. The record is from RNAcentral.